GGAGGACGCUUACCACUUUGUGGUUCAUGACUGGGGUGAAGUCGUAACAAGGUAGCCCUAGGGGAACCUGGGGCUGGAUCACCUCCUUAUACGAAGAUA
Molecule: ribosomal RNA, 99 nt
Filed under: Vibrio kanaloae
Lineage: Bacteria; Pseudomonadati; Pseudomonadota; Gammaproteobacteria; Vibrionales; Vibrionaceae
Also listed under: 1 other name
Description: partial 16S ribosomal RNA
Rfam family: Bacterial small subunit ribosomal RNA (bases 1-89)
Source: RNAcentral